This 482-nucleotide ribosomal RNA is filed under the name uncultured bacterium. Its description in RNAcentral is "partial 16S ribosomal RNA". It matches the Rfam family "Bacterial small subunit ribosomal RNA", at positions 30 to 507 of the family's 1533-position model. The record is from RNAcentral.
AUUGAACGCUGGCGGCAUGCUUUACACAUGCAAGUCGAACGGUAACAGGCCGCAAGUUGCUGUCGAGUGGCGGACGGGUGAGUAAUGCAUCGGAACGUGCCCCGUCGUGGUGGAUCACUACUCACAAGAGUAGCUAAUACCUCAUACGAUCUAUGAUUUAGAGCGGGGUACCGUAAUGCCUCGCGCGGUUUUUGCUGCCGCUGUCAGAUUAGGUAGUUGGUGAGGUAAAGGCUCACCAAGCCAACGAUCUGUAGCUGGUCUGAGAGGACGAGCAGCCACACUGGGACUGAGACACGGCCCAGACUCCUACGGGAGGCAGCAGUAGGGAAUGUUGGACAAUGGGCGCAAGCCUGAUCCAGCAAUGCCGCGUGCAGGAAGAAGGCCUUCGGGUUGUAAAAUGCUGUUGUACGGAACGAAACGGCUCUGGUUAAUACCCGGGGCUAAUGACGGUACCGUAAGAAUAAGCACCGGCUAACUACGUG